RNAcentral lists this ribosomal RNA (484 nucleotides) under uncultured bacterium. RNAcentral's name for it is "partial 16S ribosomal RNA". It matches the Rfam family "Bacterial small subunit ribosomal RNA", at positions 30 to 507 of the family's 1533-position model. The record is from RNAcentral.
AUUGAACGCUGGCGGCAGGCCUAACACAUGCAAGUCGAGCGGAUGCAGGGAGCUUGCUCCUGGAUUCAGCGGCGGACGGGUGAGUAAUGCCUAGGAAUCUGCCUGGUAGUGGGGGAUAACGUCCGGAAACGGGCGCUAAUACCGCAUACGUCCUGAGGGAGAAAGUGGGGGAUCUUCGGACCUCACGCUAUCAGAUGAGCCUAGGUCGGAUUAGCUAGUUGGUGGGGUAAAGGCCUACCAAGGCGACGAUCCGUAACUGGUCUGAGAGGAUGAUCAGUCACACUGGAACUGAGACACGGUCCAGACUCCUACGGUGAGCAGCAGUGGGGAAUAUUGGACGAUGGGCGAAAGCCUGAUCCAGCCAUGCCGCGUGUGUGAAGAAGGUCUUCGGAUUGUAAAGCACUUUAAGUUGGGAGGAAGGGCAGUAAGUUAAUACCUUGCUGUUUUGACGUUACCAACAGAAUAAGCACCGGCUAACUUCGUG